CGGACGGGUUAGUAAUGCCUAGGAAUCUGCCUGGUAGUGGGGGACAACGUUUCGAAAGGAACGCUAAUACCGCAUACGUCCUACGGGAGAAAGUGGGGGAUCUUCGGACCUCACGCUAUCAGAUGAGCCUAGGUCGGAUUAGCUAGUUGGUGGGGUAACGGCUCACCAAGGCGACGAUCCGUAACUGGUCUGAGAGGAUGAUCAGUCACACUGGAACUGAGACAUGGUCCAG
This 232-nucleotide ribosomal RNA is filed under the name uncultured Pseudomonadales bacterium. RNAcentral describes it as "partial 16S ribosomal RNA". It matches the Rfam family "Bacterial small subunit ribosomal RNA", at positions 99 to 334 of the family's 1533-position model. The record is from RNAcentral. Lineage: Bacteria; Pseudomonadati; Pseudomonadota; Gammaproteobacteria; Pseudomonadales.